Molecule: ribosomal RNA, 460 nt
Filed under: uncultured bacterium
Lineage: Bacteria
Description: partial 16S ribosomal RNA
Rfam family: Bacterial small subunit ribosomal RNA
Source: RNAcentral
CCUACGGGUGACAGCAGUGAGGAAUAUUGGUCAAUGGGCGCUAGCCUGAACCAGCCAAGUAGCGUGAAGGAUGACUGCCCUAUGGGUUGUAAACUUCUUUUAUAUGGGAAUAAAGUGCAGUAUGUAUACUGCUUUGCAUGUACCUUAUGAAUAAGGAUCGGCUAACUCCGUGCCAGCAGCCGCGGUAAUACGGAGGAUUCGAGCGUUAUCCGGAUUUAUUGGGUUUAAAGGGAGCGUAGACGGGUUGUUAAGUCAGUUGUGAAAGUUUGCGGCUCAACCGUAAAAUUGCAGUUGAUACUGGCAGCCUUGAGUACAGUAGAGGUAGGCGGAAUUCGUGGUGUAGCGGUGAAAUGCUUAGAUAUCACGAAGAACUCCGAUUGCGAAGGCAGCCUGCUGGACUGUAACUGACAUUGAUGCUCGAAAGUGUGGGUAUCAAACAGGAUUAGAUACCCCAAUAGUC